This 504-nucleotide ribosomal RNA is filed under the name uncultured bacterium. Its description in RNAcentral is "bacterial SSU rRNA". It matches the Rfam family "Bacterial small subunit ribosomal RNA", at positions 29 to 507 of the family's 1533-position model. The record is from RNAcentral.
AACGAACGCUGGCGGCGUGCUUAAUACAUGCAAGUCGAGCGAGAAAGCCCCUUUCGGGGGGUGAGUACAGCGGCGAACGGGUGCGUAACACGUGGGCAAUCUGCCCUCAAGUCCGGGACAAGCCACCGAAAGGGGGUCUAAUACCGGAUGUGGUCGUCCUGAGGCAUCUCGGGACGAGCAAAGGUAGCCACUACACUAUGCUAUCGCUUGGGGAUGAGCCCGCGGCCCAUUAGCUUGUUGGCGGGGUAACGGCCCACCAAGGCUUCGAUGGGUAGCCGGCCUGAGAGGGUGAUCGGCCACACUGGGACUGAGAUACGGCCCAGACUCCUACGGGAGGCAGCAGUAGGGAAUAUUGCGCAAUGGACGAAAGUCUGACGCAGCAACGCCGCGUGAGCGAUGAAGGUCUUCGGAUCGUAAAGCUCUGUCAGAGGGGACGAACCGUCCCGGGUCGAACAGACUCGGGAUCUGACGGUACCCUCAGAGGAAGCACCGGCCAACUCCGUG